UCGGGGAGCCGAUCAGCGACCACCGCACCCUGUCA
This 35-nucleotide non-coding RNA is filed under the name Mycobacterium tuberculosis. The record is from RNAcentral. Lineage: Bacteria; Bacillati; Actinomycetota; Actinomycetes; Mycobacteriales; Mycobacteriaceae.